AUGUGACUGGGAGGUGAACAGCAGUCCUCCGUGGCUCUCCCGUCAUCCUUGGAGAUGACAACGCAGACUUCUUCAAGAAUUUGUAAGUAGACUUUAGUCAAAAUUAUUUAAUUCCACACCACAGGAUGCCCAAUCUAUCUCAUGUGUUCUGCCUGUUAAUCUUUUGGUAUUGGCUACUUCUCUUCCAAUCAGUGCUUCUAUACUUUUUGAUUCACUUAUCCCUGAUUGGGGCCCUUUUAGUGGGAUCUCCCGUCUUUCCAGUCAGGUCCAGUUGCAGCUCUCUAGUCGCCCCAUUCAAAACCCAAAGGCCUUCAAAAUUAAAAAUUAAAAAUCAUAUCACAGCUAAAUAGGCACCUUCACAUGUCUGCAUGAUGGUAGAGGGGUUCUACUAAUAUCUCCUGUUACCAAAAAAUGGUUUUCACUUGUAACAUUAUCGCUAUUUCUUUGUUGCUUUUGGGCAAUAUGCUCGCUCUCCUGCCACAGGAGGUUCAGGAGCAGCCAAUAUGAUGCAGGUGUGACGGCUGAAGAUGGUAGGUACCUGUUCAGCCUCCUGUGGUAGGAGCACAUUUCCCAGAAGCAGCAGUGACAAAGAAAUGUGGAUGUUUACCACGAAUAUGGUUGGUUGCCCACGUAUUAAACGUUGGUCUUUCUUUAUUGAAGGUGUGAGUUUAGGAUGGCGUGAAGCUUUGACUUGACCCUAUGGAAACACAGCAGAUGCCACCAAAGGGUACUGAUCGGGGACUCUGAUGACCUUCUGGACGUGUCCCACGCCUCCAUUGGGACACUGACGGUGCUGAAGACAUCGUGGCCUCCUCACUCGCUGGACCUGGAGUCUACAACUAUUGCCAUCGUUUUGGGAGGAACAGUCGUGAUGGGUGACCGUGAUAAUCUUCCCCGUGCCGUGUGGCUACUCUUCGGACUUAUUUACCCCUGAAUUUGGAGUAUCCUCAACGAGUGAGGAACACCUUCUGAAUUUAUUCAUAGAGUGCUUCUCACUUGGACCAAAAACCCUAAAAUACAAUCACUCAAAAAUCUACUGAUGCCGUAAGGGACUGUGUUCAUGAUGUGCAGUCAGGCCCGAGAACUUCACCCUUCUAUCUCCAAUAGAACUCUUUUAUAGAAAAUGUCUGUUUUUGUUGUUUUUCUGUAGUUAAAUUGAGCAAAUGCCAAAAACGCUGUGUUCAUCAUAUUUCUGCGUUACAAAACCUAAUCUGGCAACAUGUUCAGCGUUUUAAGCACGUUGUUUGAGUUUUAAAACAUGUGUUUUUCUUCUAAAUAAACGUCUUCCAUUGUAA
Long non-coding RNA from Pseudoliparis swirei, 1295 nucleotides. RefSeq lists it as uncharacterized. Lineage: Eukaryota; Metazoa; Chordata; Actinopteri; Perciformes; Liparidae. The transcript has 2 exons. The record is from RefSeq and is a predicted model, not a curated record.